This 308-nucleotide ribosomal RNA is filed under the name uncultured bacterium. Its description in RNAcentral is "partial 16S ribosomal RNA". It matches the Rfam family "Bacterial small subunit ribosomal RNA", at positions 505 to 807 of the family's 1533-position model. The record is from RNAcentral.
GAGACAGCAGCCGCCACGGGAAUACGGAGGGGGCUAGCGUUGUUCGGAAUUACUGGGCGUAAAGCGCACGUAGGCGGCUUGGUAAGUUAGAGGUGAAAGCCCGGAGCUCAACUCCGGAAUUGCCUUUAAGACUGCCGAGCUAGUAGGUGAGAGAGGUAAGUGGAAUUCCGAGUGUAGAGGUGAAAUUCGUAGAGAUCGGGAGGAACAUCAGUGGCGAAGGCGGCCAUCUGGGACAACACUGACGCUGAGGCACGAAAGCGUGGGGAGCAAACAGGAUUAGAUACCCCAGUAGUCCCUGUCUCUUAUAC